UAGUAAUAACUUAGAUUCAUAAAUUGCAUUUCAUAAAACCCACGGACGCUUUACACAAGUAACAUUACAAGGGAAGAGAAAAUAGGCCAACACAAACACGGACUGCAAAAAAAUAAAGUGGGAGCUACAAUGGAAG
Etheostoma cragini (Arkansas darter) is the source of this 136-nucleotide long non-coding RNA. RefSeq lists it as uncharacterized. Lineage: Eukaryota; Metazoa; Chordata; Actinopteri; Perciformes; Percidae. The record is from RefSeq and is a predicted model, not a curated record. The transcript has 4 exons.